AGUGAACGCUGGCGGUAGGCCUAACACAUGCAAGUCGAACGGCAGCACAGUAAGAGCUUGCUCUUACGGGUGGCGAGUGGCGGACGGGUGAGGAAUACAUCGGAAUCUACUUUUUCGUGGGGGAUAACGCAGGGAAACUUACGCUAGUACCGCAUACGACCUACGGGUGAAAGCAGGGGAUCUUCGGACCUUGCGCGAUUGAAUGAGCCGAUGUCGGAUUAGCUAGUUGGCGGGGUAAAGGCCCACCAAGGCGACGAUCCGUAGCUGGUCUGAGAGGAUGAUCAGCCACACUGGAACUGAGACACGGUCCAGACUCCUACGGGAGGCAGCAGUGGGGAAUAAUGGACAAUGGGCGCAAGCCUGAUCCAGCCAUACCGCGUGGGUGAAGAAGGCCUUCGGGUUGUAAAGCCCUUUUGUUGGGAAAGAAAAGCAGCAGGUUAAUACCCCGCUGUUCUGACGGUACCCAAAGAAUAAGCACCGGCUAACUUCGUG
This 492-nucleotide ribosomal RNA is filed under the name uncultured bacterium. RNAcentral's name for it is "partial 16S ribosomal RNA". It matches the Rfam family "Bacterial small subunit ribosomal RNA", at positions 29 to 507 of the family's 1533-position model. The record is from RNAcentral.